RNAcentral lists this long non-coding RNA (4144 nucleotides) under Sorghum bicolor (sorghum). RNAcentral describes it as "long non-coding RNA (SBIC_LNC014611)". The record is from RNAcentral. Lineage: Eukaryota; Viridiplantae; Streptophyta; Magnoliopsida; Poales; Poaceae.
UUGAAUACUAGGUUGUCAUCCCCAGCAUGGCACUAGAGUGUACUAUGGUAUUUAUACGCACACAGAUAAUCCGCAAGCGCACGGAUACCGUUGAAGCUUUUACCCGGUUAAAGGUUUUAUCGUAUCCACAGGGAAACGGGAGAACUGAUCUACGCUCUAACUUAACCAAGAUAAGUAAAUAGGUGUGAAUAGGAAAGAUGGUAGAAUCGAAUAAGAACAAUAUUAAAGGUAAGAUAAAAGUGAGUGAUAAUAUGGGGAUAGAGAGUAGAGCAAUUCUAGUAUAUGGGCGAUGGUAGCAGAAUAGAGAGGAUAACUAUGGUUUCUCUACUUCAAAGGGGUAUGUCUAUGUCUGGGACGAACCACGUGAUAAGAGUACACCACAGAGGAUGCUUAUCCAUAGGCCGAUAAACCCUACCCGUCCUGCUAACGAGAGGUGGACUACAGGGGACCAACGUAACUGUCACCUACGCGGCCUACCACACGAUCCAGCUAGUCAGGGGAUAUCCACAAGUAAUCUAGGUCUAAGCACCACGCUUACACCUAUACUACAACUCUAACCUAUAGGGUCCUAUAGAUUAGAAGUACUCAAAAGAGUUGUGAACCAAAACAUACAUGAUUAGUAAUUGCAUAAUGAAUUAGAAGUAGAUUACCAGAGUCAUCCCAUGAGCAAGCUUGAUUAGAUCUUGAUCAUGGCGAAGUACAACCGGAGGAAGAACCGACAGGCCGGCCUCUCCUCUAAUCCUCCUUCGCUCUCCAUCUCGCUACUUUCUAGAUCUACUCUAGUUUAGAGAAGAGAGGAGAGCUCUCAUCUCUAAACCCUAGCUUUUGCUCUGUCUAUGAAUAAUGAAUAAUGAUCAAGGGGUGCUUCCUCCAGGGGCCAGGGGGUCUGGUUUUAUAGUCCCCUCAAGUGAACCUGGGCCGUCGGAUCAAACCGACAUUGAUUGAACGGUUAUUCUUGAUCCUUUAGGUCGGUGGAGCAUAAUCCGCGAGAUUGAGCGUGAUUGGCCACAGGAGGUGGGCGGGCGCCCAGUAGGACAGGGCGGGCGCCCUGUCUCUGGCCCCGUUUCGCCUCCGCUUCGGUCUCGUGGCUUUUGGAGUCUUCUAGAUGUAAGAUAAUUGCGCGGCACGUUAAUAUCUUUACGUAAUCCCCUGCAGAAAUAGACAAACACCAAAACUCGUGGAAUUCUGUCAGAUAAAACCCUAAGUCUAGAUGUUGAUUUCAUUUGGAUCCUUUUCUUUGUUUAUUUGAUAGUUAAAUUUGAUACUUAAGGACCGUCAACAAACUCCCCCAAGCUUACCUCUUGCUCGUCCCUGAGCAAGGAUAGACUCAGCAAUGGAUCAGAAGUUGUUGCAAUAUCUUAAAAAUUUGACAGUACACAUGCUUUUAAAUAAGAUCUCAUCUCUGAGUUAGAGUAAACUGUCAAGAACUAAAACUUACUUACUUUACCUUUCACCAUGGGACUUGUAACCGUCACUUCUGUCUUGAGUGGUUAAAAGAUAGAACAGUCCCGUCAAGUGCCAUGUCUCUUAUUCUUGAUCAGCUAUAGCUCUGGAGUUUUUGCAAAUUUUCAAAUAAAACUCAGAGAUUCCUUUGUAUGACUCUCUCAUAUCUCUCUUUUGUGGUAUUUCUGGAUCCUUACCAAGGCAGUGAUGGUGUAUGCCUUCUCUCAAAAUAUGUGGUAUUUGUGGUAUAAGGCAUAGUGACAUUGCCUUCUCUCUCACCCUACUCUAAUAAGGCUUUAAUAUCUGGAGCUCAUAGGUGGAAGAUAAAGUAUACAUACUUACAAGACAUUUAUUGUAUAUUCAAACCAUGGUUCCAAACAAACAAAUCAAUAAGCCAAAUCAAGAUGUGCAUGUGUGGCGAAUGAAUGGUGUAUAGUGAUGAUGGUGAUAACAAUGGUGAAAGUCUAAUUCUACUUUUGCUCUUAUGAGGGGAUACAUACCUUCCUUGCUUUUUGAAACUUUAUGAGGAGAAUGAGAUGCUCUUCUUUUUCUUUCCUCUUAGGUGGGUAUCUUGUACCCCUAAUUCUACUGUCGGACACUUGUCCAAUUUUACCUCUCGUCUCACUCUUUUUCUUUUCUUUCGAGGUUCCGGGUACUUGCCCAUUUUUAUUUCCUCGUUUAUUAUUUUUUUCUUUUCUUUUUUUUUUCUUCUUUUUUUCUUCAGAGCACUCAUCUCUUGAGAUAAUAUAGCAAGUGGUAGUAGCAAGAUAACUUGAGCAUUUAUUUCACAAGGGAAAAACACAGCUGUUUUUGACUAUUCUCUCCCGAAUUAGGAGUAGAAUAUUUUUAGGUGAUUCUGGAGAUGGAAAUGGAUGGAUAUAUGUGGAUGGUACUUCCGGAGUAGAAGUAGCAUAUAUAUGAGUGAACGUGCAAGUGAAUCUUGAUUUAACCACAUGACAAGCUCCUAAGGGUCUACACAGCUUGACCACACUCAAUGCUCAUAAGCAGUAAAUAAAUGUGUGGCUCAAAGUCUAGCAAGCAUGUAUAUAUGGCUGUGGUAGGAAUUUAAACUUUCAUCAUACAGGAACUCAUCAUGCAAUAUUUUAAAGAUUUUUCAAAGAUAAAAUUCUCCAGAAUUCCAGCAUCUCUAGGAAUAGAUAAACAGCAGCUCAACCUUCCCAUAUCAUAUCCGUUAACAACUUAGAUUUCAGAUCAAGUUUUUAUCCCACAAGUUUAGAUCUAGAGCAAGCUUUAAAUUAUAACAGUUAUGUCUAAACUUGAGAGAGAAAACUUCAAAUUUGCAAAUUAGGCAGAGCAACUAUUCAUCAUAUUCAUGCUAGAGUUUUAUUAUUAAGAUUCAUAGCAAACUUUAUUUAUUUAUUUAUUUAUUUAUUUAGAAAACUAAGAAAGGUAUAUAUAUAUAUAAGCAUAAAAUCUUUAUUUGGUUUUUCAUAGUUUAUGUAUUUUAAUAUUCUAAUAUAAUAUAAGUAUAAAGAUAGGUAGAAAUACUUAACGAGAUAAAUAGGGGUGCUCUCCCCCAAGCUGAAUUUUGACGUAAUUUCUCUUGAUGUAGCUAGCAGGUGGCAGAGGUGUAUUUGAAAGUCAGCAGCAUUGUGACAGCGGUUAGAAUGUCCUCCGUCUGCUAGUCUUCUUGAUUCUUAAAUUCUGUGGAGCUCAAAUAGACAACAAAGCUUGUGGAACUAAUUAAGUGUUAGCAUAAAUAUCUAGCCUUCAUCACGUUGAGCUUCCUCAAUAAAUAUUACUCCCUGUUUUUAUAUUUUUAUUUUAUAAAGUAGAAAAGAAAUAUUUAUUUUAUUUUUAUGCCACCACAGUGAAGGUACUUAUGGGUUUUAUGCCACUCGUAUACUCACAUGGGGCUUAGUAUUUUUUAACAUUUUUAUUUUCUUUUCAAGAUAGCAUGAUUAACUAAUAAUCUAUUUAAGGAAAGUAAAUAAUUAAAGGGAAAAGGGAAUGCAGAAAGGAUAAAUAUGGAUGACUACCAAUCUUACCUUUCGGCGAGGGUUCAAUGUUUUAAGUCUUCUUGACAAGACUUCUCACCGUGUUCAUUCUUCAGGUGCGUCAUUUGAUUCAGGUGCGGACCUUGACGUCUGCACCUUUUAAUACGAUGUCACCCAUGUUCUUCAGUAGUUCGAAGUGCGGUGUUGGCAGUAUCCUGCUUAGUGUGUUUGUGCUCGUAGAUCUAGGUCCUUCACUUGGUAGAGUCUGAGAGUUAUAAAACUCCUCCGUGUUUUGCUCAAAGUGUACCUGCUCAUAGAGACAAGGUAGAGAUCAAGUGCAUGGGUCCUGUUGGUGGAAAACACCAACAGAACCAAAAGUGUAUUUGUUCUUCUCUAACCUUAAGCAUAGUGAGCAAGAUAAAGUUGAUGGAUGAUAAGUUCAUGAGUGUAGCACUUAUAACAUUUGUCAGAUCAGAUCGCUCAACCUUAUGGAAAGAUAAUCUUUCUAUGUAUAUGUCUUUUUCUUUAUAUCUCUCAAAGAUUGAAUGUGUAACAUUUUAGCUCAUAUGAUUAGGAGUGUGGGAUCAUGGAGGUAGUACUAAGAACAAGGAUUAAAGGACUAAACAUGUUGAAUCAGUUGGGUUGGUUAAUCUAGAGUUGUAAAUCAUACAUGUUUGUCUCUUUUAUUUAUAUGAACGCCAGAACCAAGGAGAAGCUUAUAAAAGUGAUAGUCAAGUACCUUA